Molecule: small RNA, 16 nt
Filed under: Arabidopsis thaliana (thale cress)
Lineage: Eukaryota; Viridiplantae; Streptophyta; Magnoliopsida; Brassicales; Brassicaceae
Description: ATSL073630
Source: RNAcentral
AGAAAGAGGCAAUAAC